AUACCAUGGUGAGGGCACUUUCGUAAUAACUCCUUGAACCGCUCCCAUGCCUCAUAUAAAGACUCUUUGUCAAGUUGUUGAAAUAAAGUGAUUUCUUUUCAGAUCUU
Gossypium raimondii (Peruvian cotton) is the source of this 107-nucleotide small nucleolar RNA. It matches the Rfam family "Plant small nucleolar RNA R71". Rfam says of the family: R71 is a member of the C/D box family of snoRNAs containing the C (UGAUGA) and D (CUGA) box motifs. Multiple nearly identical copies of this snoRNA have been identified in Arabidopsis, and it is thought to function as a 2'-O-ribose methylation guide for 18S ribosomal RNA. NCBI's taxonomy places the organism in Eukaryota, Viridiplantae, Streptophyta, Magnoliopsida, Malvales, Malvaceae. The record is from Rfam.